AAGAAAGGAAAGAGAAAGUCCAACCACUACGGCAAUACUUUUAAGCUCUACUAAAUGAUCGUAUCCUUUCUGGCUUCGAAACUUUUGUACCUAAAAAUCGAGAGAGGCGCUGCAUUUUUUCAGUUGAAACUGUCAAAACUUGGAGAAGGGGGACCUCGGAGGCAGGCAGGAGAGGAGGAGAAUCCUGAAAACUCGGUGGAGGUUGGGAAGAUGCUGUGCCUCGAGGAUUAGUUUAAACAGGGGGCUAUAAAAGAUGUAACAGAUGCAAACUGUAACACAAGGGCCAUUAACCCUUUCUCUGCCGGGCACACUCAGUCCCCACGCCCCACACCUAUUGUCUCCUGUGCUAGAAGCUUUGCAGAAAACCUGGAAAGUAUUUGCCAAGUCCUAAUUGCUGAAUAUAAUGAAUUGGAACUAGAUGCGAAAAUAGAGCAGGACCUCUCCCCUUGAUGAGUUUUUAUUCCAGCCAUAUAAUUCUCAAUAAAACUUUUCCUGGGCUGGAUAGCAAAGGACACCUUUGGUUACCUGAAUGAACAGGUACAGGGGAAAUUAUUUGGGGGAGGGAAAAAGGAGAGAAAAGCAAGGAGAGAGAGUGUGAGUGUAAGAGAAAGCGAAGAAGCCACUCUUGAGAAAAGCUUGCCAUAAAGGAGCUAAACCCACCUGAAAUUCCUACCCACGGACACCCCUUCUCACUUCAGACUCACAUCCCCACUCAAAAUGAGAAAAUUAGAAAAGGAGGAUGGAGGACGAGCACACCAAAAAGGGAUAAAAAGAGAGAAAAGGGGAGGAAAAAAAACCUACCUGCGAAGUCUUGUUUGUAGUUUUGGCCAGAAAUGGUGAGAAGAAAAAGCAUGAAGAAGCCGCGAAGUGUGGGGGAGAAAAAGGUGGAAGCGAAGAAACAGCUCCCGGAGCAAACUGUACAAAAACCUCGCCAAGAGUGUCGGGAGGCAGGACCGUUAUUCCUGCAGAGCAGGAGAGAGACGAGAGACCCUGAAACACGCGCCACCUAUCUUUGUGGGGAGGGAUAAUUGAAGCGCCCUGAGCGUGAGCAUCAUGUGAAAACGUGAUCGCCAAGUUUCUCUCUGGGAAAGGAUCUGGGAUAGAUUAUACCUUGAAGUCUCCGCAAACGCUUUAGUGGAAGA
RNAcentral lists this long non-coding RNA (1142 nucleotides) under Homo sapiens (human). RNAcentral describes it as "HSALNT0306182". The stretch from base 245 to 372 matches the Rfam family "ZEB2 antisense RNA 1 conserved region 1". Lineage: Eukaryota; Metazoa; Chordata; Mammalia; Primates; Hominidae. The record is from RNAcentral.